Long non-coding RNA from Gasterosteus aculeatus aculeatus (three-spined stickleback), 419 nucleotides. Lineage: Eukaryota; Metazoa; Chordata; Actinopteri; Perciformes; Gasterosteidae. The record is from Ensembl.
UUCUUGUUUCAGAUGAAUUAAUUCCGUUAGCGAGACAAAGGAAGAGCUCCCUUAUAACAUUAAAAGCCACUCAGUGGUCUGGAACCAUCAUCUUCUCUGUGUUCGAUCACCUUCUAUUUCCAGCACUUAUUGAUUCCGUGUGGAAGUCUGUCGAUGGGCCGCGUCCCCGUAGGAAGGUGGACGCGUCCGUGUGUCGGGGGGGCGUUUGCAGGCGGAGCGGCCCGGAUGGCUCCCUGCAUGUACGUGAGAUGAGGAUGUGCUUGUUGAAGUGAAGAAGAAGGAGAAGAAGAAGAAGAAGAAGACGACGUCCCAGUAAACAGGAAGCAGUUCAUUACUGGUGAUACCCUGACAAUGAGGUUAUGUGCCGAUAAUUGGGAUUAAAUUGGGAGAUUAAAAUGCUUCCGCGGAGGCGUUUUCCC